This 829-nucleotide small RNA is filed under the name Vigna angularis var. angularis. Its description in RNAcentral is "Non-protein coding transcript". Lineage: Eukaryota; Viridiplantae; Streptophyta; Magnoliopsida; Fabales; Fabaceae. The record is from RNAcentral.
CUAUGUAAACAAUACAAGUGUUUAAGAGAUUUGGAAUUUUUGCUACUAUUUGCUUGAGCUCUAAAGUGUACAGAUUUAGCCAAAGCAAAAACCAAAGACUGACACAUUCUCCUGCACAAAAAUAUUGGGGAUGAAAGGAAUAUUUAACAGUAUUCAAAAUCCCAUAGAAGAUUUUAUAGCACUCAUUCUCUCAGGCCUUAAAAUCUACAGAAAGUUUAUGCAUUUGCUCAAGGUGUUCCUGGUGUCUUUGGAUCAUGCCUGUUGUUUGCUCCAGUCCCUGGAUAAUCAUUAUUUUCAAAAUCAAUCCUUCUCUCCAUAAACUCUUCUGCUAGAUCAAACAAAUCUUCUCCACUUCUCAAUUCCUCAACACCCUGAAACCAUAGACCCAGAAAUUGUAUUUUCAGUUAUAUUACAGACCCCUUUGCUGCAUGCAGAUACAAUACAGGAACAUCAGAAUAUAUCAGAAGCAGCAGAAGACAUAACAAAAGAAAGGGCCAGAAGAAGGAUAAGGAGCAAUUGCAUAGGAGAUUUGGGGUUCAUGUUGAAGAAGAAGAAGAAGAGGGAUCUGAAAGGUGACAAAGAAAUGGUAAGAAAGAGAAAGUUGAAGAAGGUGAAUUUUAUGGAAUACUUUGGAGAUAGUGUUUAUAUGGAGAAUGAGAAUCCAAGUACCAUUGCUUGAUCCAAAGUCAACCUAAACUUUAACAUUUUCAUUAAUUAUUGAUUCUUCCAAAGCUUUUCAAAAUGAAAUAUUUUCAACUUUCAUGUCCAUGUACCACAAUCAAUGUGCCUUUCCCCACACAUCACUGCUCUACUUUGGAUUUGUUUUUAU